UACGUAGGGGGCAAGCGUUGUCCGGAUUUACUGGGUGUAAAGGGUGCGCAGGCGGACUUGUAAGUCAGGGGUGAAAUCUCACAGCUCAACUGUGAAACUGCCUUUGAUACUGCAAGUCUUGGAUCCAGAAGAGAGUUGUGGAAUUCCGAGUGUAGCAGUGAAAUGUGUAGAUAUUCGGAAGAACACCAGUGGCGAAGGCAGCAACUUGGUCUGGUAUCGACGCUCAGGCACGAAAGCAUGGGGAUCAAACAGG
Molecule: ribosomal RNA, 253 nt
Filed under: uncultured bacterium
Lineage: Bacteria
Description: partial 16S ribosomal RNA
Rfam family: Bacterial small subunit ribosomal RNA
Source: RNAcentral